UACGAAGGGGGCUAGCGUUGUUCGGAUUUACUGGGCGUAAAGCGCACGUAGGCGGUUUGUUAAGUCAGAGGUGAAAUCCCGGAGCUCAACUCCGGAACUGCCUUUGAUACUGGCAAGCUAGAGUCCGGAAGAGGUGAGUGGAACUCCUAGUGUAGAGGUGGAAUUCGUAGAUAUUAGGAAGAACACCAGUGGCGAAGGCGGCUCACUGGUCCGGUACUGACGCCGAGGUGCGAAAGCGUGGGGAGCAAACAGG
Molecule: ribosomal RNA, 253 nt
Filed under: uncultured Devosia sp.
Lineage: Bacteria; Pseudomonadati; Pseudomonadota; Alphaproteobacteria; Hyphomicrobiales; Devosiaceae
Description: partial 16S ribosomal RNA
Rfam family: Bacterial small subunit ribosomal RNA
Source: RNAcentral